CCUACGGGAGGCAGCAGUGAGGAAUAUUGGUCAAUGGGCGGAAGCCUGAACCAGCCAAGUAGCGUGCAGGAUGACGGCCCUACGGGUUGUAAACUGCUUUUAUACGGGAAUAACGCGCCUUACGUGUAGGGCUUUGCAUGUACCGUAUGAAUAAGGACCGGCUAAUUCCGUGCCAGCAGCCGCGGUAAUACGGAAGGUCCGGGCGUUAUCCGGAUUGAUUGGGUUUAAAGGGAGCGUAGGCCGCAUGUCAAGCGUGCUGUGAAGUGUCCGGGCUCAACCCGGGCCUUGCAGCGCGAACUGGCGGGCUUGAGUCCGCGGAAAGCAGGCGGAAUUCGUGGUGUAGCGGUGAAAUGCGUAGAUAUGACGAAGAACCCCGAUGGCGAAGGCAGCCUGCUGCAGCGGAACUGACGCUGAUGCUCGAAAGCGCGGGUAUCGAACAGGAUUAGAUACCCCAGUAGUC
RNAcentral lists this ribosomal RNA (460 nucleotides) under uncultured bacterium. RNAcentral describes it as "partial 16S ribosomal RNA". It matches the Rfam family "Bacterial small subunit ribosomal RNA", at positions 338 to 795 of the family's 1533-position model. The record is from RNAcentral.